RNAcentral lists this ribosomal RNA (2758 nucleotides) under Triticum aestivum (bread wheat). Its description in RNAcentral is "partial small subunit ribosomal RNA". Lineage: Eukaryota; Viridiplantae; Streptophyta; Magnoliopsida; Poales; Poaceae. The record is from RNAcentral.
CUCGGCGUGAAGAUGGAUUUAAGAGAGAUGAAAUCCUAGCAAUUCACUGCGGUGGAAAAUAUCCAUAUCCUUCCACCUCCGCCGCCACACUCUCCUCGUCCGCGUCCGCCACUCGCACCCCUCCCCUGAUCCCCUAAUUCCCUCCCUUGCGUCACCAGCUUCACCCACUUCUUCAUGUGCGACGGCCGACGCAGCUCCCGUGCCUUCCCAUUGCCGCUGGAUGGGAGUUGUUGGGACAUCGCCAGUCCACAUCGGCGACGGGUGGUGACCAGCUCUCCGCGCAUGUGGAGCAGCGGGUUGCCGGGGGCACAACUACCACUUCGCCACUGCCCUGACUCCUUCCAGUGGAUGCGCCGUCGAUGGAGACCGCCAACAGGAUGAAGAUUUGUCGUCCCAGCAAACUCAUGCGCUGUUGCCGCCACAAUUGUUCUCUUUGUUGGAGUCUUCCUCCUCUAGUACGUCCUCUCCUGCGACCUCCGUAAGUUCAAGGUUUCACUACCGGAGCAGCGGAUUCCUUGUUGAAAUGUUUGAUGCGGUCUGCUCGGCCUUUUUCUUUGGCAGGAGAGAAAAAAAUUGGUGUCUUUGACACUCCUGGGACCGACAGAUCAUUCAUGGCAUGGUUGGAUUUGAAUGGGGAAGUGUCCAUCCAAAAUUUGUUUGGUUGACUGGACUAAUUGUUCCUUUGGCUGUUUUAAUGGAAACCCAUUCACAUAAUUUUUGCAAACAUUAGCGAAGAUUUCAGUGGCAGGGAGUGUUUGCCGGAGUGGAAACGAUUCAAGAGCUGGAAGGAGCUCAAGAUUUUGCUACUGCCUUGCUGAUAGGUUUGUGAGGCAUUUGUGAUCUUGUUAACCGAUGCACCCGCUGACAUCAAGAUGUGGCAUGGUGCGGGCUUUGGGGUUUCAGGGGCGUGAAAUGGCGUGGAAGACAGAGAUGGAAGUGGCCUGCAUCCUCGAAUCGGGGUUGCCUCUUUGAGAGUAGCAGAUUGCCGAGAUGAGGACCUGUGUGGAUGCCCAAAGUUACAGGUCAUCAAGAACUAUAUCCUCGAAACUAAAAGUUGUUGGAAAAGAUCUGUUAUGAUGCCAUAGAAGUUGCAGAUAAGGAUCUUCUCCCCUUAUGCGCUGGGUCUGAAAGCAAGGGCAUAAUCGAUGAUCGUAGCUGGUUGAUUUUCCAACAUAAGGACCAGAGAAUUGCUACAGUUUGAGAUGACAGUGAAUGCUUACAAGACUAACUUUGCAAAUAUGCGUGAGGGCGACAUAUGCCCUUCUCAUCCUACAUGACUUGGAAUAGCUUUUGACUUUUCAGCUACAUAUCAUGCUUUGAAUUCACCUACAAGAAUCUACCGUUACAACACCAGUGCAUGAUGAGACUGAGAAGAUCUUGACCUUGCUGCGACAUAAUUUAAGGAGCUGGAAUGAGGUUGGACCUUUAACACAAUAGCAAAAUUUAACUCGAAGAACCUCUGAUAUCACUAAAUCAUUAUCAGGCUAACCAGCCAUCUCAGGCCGAGUCUGUUGCUACUGUUGCUCAACCUUUCAGUGGACUACAAGAUGAUAUACCACAAGGCUCGGAUGCAAGGUGCAAGUCACCAUGACGGUAGCGGGUUGAGAGAAGUGGAGAAUAGGGUUCCUCCAGGUUCCAUCCAUGAAUGGUGUCAGUCCAAUAUCUCAGUUAAAUGUCUGCUAUUCCUUCAUUUCUUCAUCUUCGGUUGAAGAAUAAUCCCUCUACUAUCAUCUUGAAGACUUGAAGGGUGGCAUGCGCACGUCCAUACAAUAACUUUAAAUUUUAAGUGUACUUUAGUUGAUGUAUUGUAGUUGAUUGAAUCCCGUCAAAGAUUCAGAGAAAAUCAAGUAACUUGAUAAUUAUUUGCUUAGAGAGCAAGAAGUUGCUACUAUAUCGUGGUUCAUGCCAAAAGCAUUGUCAGCCAAAAUAGGAUAGAGAAUCCCUUGAAAACAAUUGAAAGAAUAAUGCAUUUCGAGUGAAAGGAUCUUGUUUGCAUCCCCGGGGUAGCAUGGUAAGGGGUGUUAAAAUUUCAUUCAAGAGGUGUUCAAUAUUACGAAGUUAACUCUAUCAUCUCACUUGGAUUUAGUAUCGUGACAUCUGACGGGUUGCUUUCUCCUUUUGAUAAUUUCAUUGUGGUGCUUCAGUUCAUUUGAGCUAAUGAUCGUAAAUGUCAUGACAUUUUCGGACCGUUGAGAUAGUUGCCAUCGACAUGGAAGUUGUCAUAUGUGAUAGGAACAUUGUAUUAUCUCAAGCGGACAUAAUAUCUUAUAUUGUGAUGAUGUUCAAAGUGCCAUAAGAAGAGGAUGCUACACAUGUUUCAUCUAUAUAUCAAUUUUCUUCUUCAGAAAACAACAUUUUAGUCUUUAACACAAGUUGUACUGCAGGAAUAUGAAACCAAAUAAUCUACUUAUCGGUGCUGAAUGACAACUCAUGGUUGGGAUUUUUUUCUGGCAGCAGGAGCCCAGAACAGGACCCCACCAUAUUCUUGUUAGUGGAUUUCUAUGGAUCUACUUUUAGUUAACUCUGUCUCGGACUCUCUACAAUCCCAAAACUGUAUAUAAACAGAAUGUUGAUGUCUACUACACAACUUGUUCUUGUAGAUUCGUGUUGGGCCUCCAAGCGCAGAGUUUUGUAGGACAGUAGCAAUUUUCCCUCAAGUGGAUGACCUAAGGUUUAUCAAUCCGUGGGAGGCGUAGGAUGAAGAUGGUCUCUCUCAAACAACCCUGCAACCAAAUAACAAAGAGUCUCUUGUGUCCCC